Molecule: ribosomal RNA, 271 nt
Filed under: uncultured archaeon
Lineage: Archaea
Description: partial 16S ribosomal RNA
Rfam family: Archaeal small subunit ribosomal RNA
Source: RNAcentral
CUGCGCCACGAGUGGGAGUCACGAUUAUUGGGCCUAAAGCGUCCGUAGCCUGUUUUGCAAAUCUUUUGUGAAAUUGCCGAGCUUAACUCGGCAGCGUGCAGAAGAGACUACAAGACUUGGAACCAGAAGGAGUCAGAAAGAUGCUGGGGGGAGCGGUAAAAUGCUAUAAUCCCCGGUAGACUACCUGUGGCGAAGGCGUCUGACUAGUAUGGAUUCGACGGUGAGGAACGAAAGCUAGGGGAGCGAUCCGGAUUAGAUACCCGAGUAGUCC